This is a long non-coding RNA of Mastomys coucha (southern multimammate mouse), 1219 nucleotides long. RefSeq lists it as uncharacterized. Lineage: Eukaryota; Metazoa; Chordata; Mammalia; Rodentia; Muridae. The transcript has 3 exons. The record is from RefSeq and is a predicted model, not a curated record.
AAGAAGUUUGACUCAAGGCUCACAGUUCUUCAUGUCGUACCAUAAACCUUUAUGGAGUCCUUGCUGUGGUUAGGCCUUGUACACGGAGGUGUGGGGGACAGAUGACUAAAACUUAGCAGGAGUAAAAUAGAUAUUUGAACUAAUCAAUGAAUAACACUGGCAAUUGUUAACGUUCUGGAUGUCAGGUUUGUUGCUAAAGCAUUAAAAAAAAAUGGAGUCUCAUUUCACCUAAAAGCAGUUGUCAUUCCAAAAGGUUUGUCCUUUCCCUCAUUUUUACCUCUAUUCAAAGGGAAAAUUGUAAUUUAACAGGCAAUUGGGAAAGAAAUGCUCACCUAGAAAACAAAGGGGGCUAUUCAGGGCAAGAAGUGUUUAGGACCACCGUAAUUUCUCCCCAGUGAUUUAAAGCAUACAUAAUUGUAAUGGCGGAUACUUGUUGAAUUUGUGUGAUGUGUGUGUGCCAUCUUUUUCUAAAGGAUUUCAAAUGCUUGCGUUUAAUCGCAACUCCACUAAAGGAUGUUUGUAUAGGCCUAUAAGAUGCCACAAGUUAUAGGCUCUUAAGUGGCCAUGUUGAGAUUUGAUUAUAAAAGAAAAUGCAUGGUUGCAGAAUUGAUGCUGUCAGCUGCUAUGCCGAACAUACUCCCUAAUUGUACCCAGUUAUUUAAUAGGAAUGCACCACUGAAUUGGGAGCUGAAAGGAACAUAAGGAACUGAAAAGGCCAGGGGGGAAUGAGACAGACUAUAAGUGACUGAAGAAAGGACUUCACCCUCUUUUCCUGUUUUCCAGUUUGUGAGGGAUUGCAGUAUGGCUCCAUUUCCUUGGUGCGUUUGUAAAAUAGUUCACCCACUGAAGACCAUGAAGAUUCUUUCCAAUGCUACCCUGCUUUUGCUGGUGUCCUGCACCUGAAAGUUGUGAUGCUAAAGGCUCAUCUUAUAUUUUCUACCCCAUUGACCAUUUCUCUAUUUGACUGUGCCACUGGGAGACCGUAUUUACAAACUGAGUAUUUUGAUGUAAUGACUGUGAUUUCACCUUCAGAAUUUGGAUGACUCUAGGACAUGGGCAAGAUCAGGUUGUAGACUUCUAGGACUGAAGGCCAUGCGUGGAUCAUGGUAAACUCACCAAAGCAAGUAAUGCCCUUGAGAUGAUCCUGCAGAAGCUUGUCAUUGCUUUCUUUUGUUGACACCAAGUCUUUGCUGUAUUACAUUAAAGUUGCAUAAAUCCA